Grammomys surdaster is the source of this 552-nucleotide long non-coding RNA. RefSeq lists it as uncharacterized. The transcript has 3 exons. The record is from RefSeq and is a predicted model, not a curated record. NCBI's taxonomy places the organism in Eukaryota, Metazoa, Chordata, Mammalia, Rodentia, Muridae.
GAAAUACUGGCUGAAGAAACGUCCAACAGACCAGACCUGACUGACAAGCCCUGGCCAGGGGUGAAGACCUGGUUUACUGAUGGGAGCAGCUUCGUGAUUGAGGUAUUUAUAGAUACUUUUUCCGGAUGGGUCGAGGCAUUCCCAACCAAGAAGGAGACGGCUACUGUGGUGGCUAAGAAGAUAUUGGAAGAAAUCCUACCCAGGUUUGGGGUACCAAGGGUGAUUGGCUCAGACAAUGGGCCUGCUUUCAUCGCGCAACCCGACUGAAAGCCUUAGAGACUGUGAAAAAGGAAAUCUGGGGAACCAUAAAGAACUCCUAUGCUCCUAAAGAAGAUCCAGUACCACACCAGUUCGAGGUCGGAGACACUGUCCUAGUAAGGAGACAUCGGACGGGCAACCUUGAGCCACGGUGGAAAGGCCCGUACUUGGUCCUGCUGACAACCCCCACAGCAGUGAAGGUAGACGGCAUCGCUGCGUGGAUCCACGCCUCGCACGUGAAAAGAGCACCUCCGAACUCUCAUCAAGAUGAAUGGACUUUGGAGCGGACUGGUA